This 379-nucleotide ribosomal RNA is filed under the name uncultured bacterium. RNAcentral's name for it is "bacterial SSU rRNA". It matches the Rfam family "Bacterial small subunit ribosomal RNA", at positions 28 to 408 of the family's 1533-position model. The record is from RNAcentral.
GACGAACGCUGGCGGCGUGCUUAACACAUGCAAGUCGAGCGGUAAGGCCCUUUCGGGGGUACACGAGCGGCGAACGGGUGAGUAACACGUGGGUGACCUGCCCUCAGCUCUGGGAUAAGCCUGGGAAACUGGGUCUAAUACCGGAUAUGACUCCAUGACGCAUGUUGUGGGGUGGAAAGCCUUGUGCGGCUGAGGAUGGGCCCGCGGCCUAUCAGCUUGUUGGUGGGGUGANGGCCUACCAAGGCGACGACGGGUAGCCGGCCUGAGAGGGCGACCGGCCACACUGGGACUGAGACACGGCCCAGACUCCUACGGGAGGCAGCAGUGGGGAAUCUUGCGCAAUGGGCGAAAGCCUGACGCAGCGACGCCGCGUGAGGGA